This is a small nucleolar RNA of Vombatus ursinus (common wombat), 207 nucleotides long. Its record names the gene SNORA74. It matches the Rfam family "Small nucleolar RNA SNORA74". From Rfam's summary of the family: U19 belongs to the H/ACA class of snoRNAs. snoRNAs bind a number of proteins (including dyskerin, Gar1p and Nop10p in the case of the H/ACA class) to form snoRNP complexes. This class are thought to guide the sites of modification of uridines to pseudouridines by forming direct base pairing interactions with substrate RNAs. Targets may include ribosomal and spliceosomal RNAs but the exact functions of many snoRNAs, including U19, are not confirmed. The record is from Ensembl. Lineage: Eukaryota; Metazoa; Chordata; Mammalia; Diprotodontia; Vombatidae.
UCCAGUGGUAGUCAGCUAUCCAGGAUAUUGCCAUUCCUGUGAUAGUGUUACACUACUGGUAGAUUAAUAGACUGUCCUCUUGACCUAGUUACCACCUUCACUGUUCUAGUGAUUCCUGGUAUCAGCAGACAGAAGGGGACCGUGCUUCCUCGAGAGUGUGCUGAGCAGCCAUUUUGACUAUUCAAUGUUAGUGUGGAAGCAGACAUA